This 1014-nucleotide ribosomal RNA is filed under the name Triticum aestivum (bread wheat). RNAcentral describes it as "partial small subunit ribosomal RNA". Lineage: Eukaryota; Viridiplantae; Streptophyta; Magnoliopsida; Poales; Poaceae. The record is from RNAcentral.
AUGCUGAUUAUGUUGAUUGUGAUGUGGUACCUAUGCAAGCAUGUUCCUUAUUACUUACUUGGUAGACCAUGGCAAUUUGAUAAAAAUUCUGUACACCAUGGUAGAAACAAUCACUAUACUCUUGUUCAUAAGGAUAAAAAUAUUACUUUGCUUCCUAUGACUCCUGAUUCCAUUUUGAAAGAUGAUAUUAAUAGAGCUAAUAAAGCAAAACAGGAGACGAAUAAGAGUGAAAAUCAGAUUGUGGCAAAAGAAUUUGAGCAGCAAAUGAAGCCUAAUAAUAAACCAUCUAGUGUUGCUUCUGAAAUUAAAUUGAAAAGUGCAUGUUUAUUUGCCACCAAAUCUGAUAUUGAUGAGCUAGAUUUCAGCCAAUCUGUUUGCUAUGCUUUUGUGUGCAAAGAGGCAUUAUUUUCAUUCGAGGACGUGCCUUCGUCUUUGCCUCCUGCUGUCACUAACAUUUUGCAGGAGUUCGCUGACGUCUUUCCACAAGACGUGCCACCAGGAUUACCGCCUAUUCGAGGGAUUGAGCAUCAGAUUGACUUAAUUCCCGGUGCUUCACUGCCAAACCGUGCACCAUACCGUACCAAUCCAGAGGAGACGAAGGAGAUUAUGCGUCAAGUACAAGAGCUUCUCGACAAAGGUUAUAUACGCGAAUCCCUUAGUCCUUGUGUCGUUCCUAUUAUUCUAGUGCCGAAAAAGGAUGGUACAUCACGUAUGUGUGUUGAUUGUAGAGGCAUUAAUAAUAUUACUAUUCGUUAUCGUCAUCCUAUUCCUAGGCUAGAUGAUAUGCUUGAUGAAUUGAGUGGCUCUACAAUAUUCUCCAAAGUUGAUUUGCGUAGUGGAUACCAUCAAAUUCGUAUGAAAUUGGGAGAUGAAUGGAAAACAGCAUUCAAAACUAAGUUUGGAUUGUAUGAGUGGUUAGUCAUGCCUUUUUGGUUAACUAAUGCACCUAGUACUUUAAUGAGAUUAAUGAACGAAGUGUUACGUGCUUUCAUUGGACGAUUUGUGGUAGUUUAG